CGCCCCGUUGUGAGGUGGUGGUCUGGACUUCGUGGGUCCUUCUCCAAAACUUUCAGUAAGAACCUUUAGGCUGCAAACAACACCUGAUUCUAGCUUAGCUAGACUCUAUUUGUCAGGUGGACUACACUAUCUGUCAUAACAAAACCCCAAAUCUCAAGGGCUUAACCCAAUAGCCCUUUAUUUUUUGCCCACGCAAAGUCCAAUGUAGGUGCUCCUGGCCGAGCUGCACUCCUGGACGGCUCUGCUCCAGCCUGUAACCAGGGAACCAAGCUGCUUCUGUCUUUUAGUCCUGCCAUCUUGUGGCUUCAGGGUUACCCUGAUGUCACCCACCUGGCUAGAUCGGGGAAGGGGACAGGGGUGGUGGUGAGAAGGUGAAGGAUCAGGCACCUGAAUUUUUUUUUUUUUUCAAGAUUUUAUUUUUUCCUUUUUCUCCCCAAAGCCCCCCGGUACAUAGUUGUGUAUUCUUCGUUGUGGGUUCCUCUAGUUGUGGCAUGUGGGACGCUGCCUCAGCGUGGUCUGACGAGCAGUGCCAUGUCCGCGCCCAGGAUUCGAACCGACGAAACACUGGGCCGCCUGCAGCGGAGCGCGCGAACUUAACCACUCGGCCAUGGGGCCAGCCCCUCAGGCACCUGAAUUUAACCACCUUGACCCAGAAGUAAGCCACUUCAUGUCACAUUCCAUUAGUGAGAACGAGUCACGUGGUUCCCUCUAGAUUGCAGGGGAGGGGAUGCUGGAAAUGUCAUCCGUGGCUGGAGACUUGCUUCCAAGGACUAACUCUACAUAACACGGGUAUGCACGGAUCUUCGGCAGGUGACUAGUCAUCUCUGCCAAACAACCUAAGGAAGAAAAAUGUAUCUUCCAUAAAAAGAAAUCUCGAGAUAAACGGGCCCCAAGCUUAGUUAAUUCAGCAGCUCAAAGAUAAAUUUAAAGACCCACAGUCUUUCCGUGUUUUCACACUUGCAUCCUUAGGCCAGUAUCCAUCAAAUGCAGAGACAGCACCUAACAGGAGAGCUGCCGCUCUCCUGUGUAUCUUGAAGCGGGAAGAAACCUUUCUUAGAAGCACUCCGUUAGACUUUCUCCUUAUUCUCACUGACCGCAACUGGGUCACGUGGCCACCCCUAAGCCAGUCACGAAUAGGGGGAAUGGAAUCACCAUGACAGUUCUCAGCCCUAGCUGCGCGUUAGCACCAGCUGGAGGAAAUUUUUUAAAAUACAAAUGUCCGCCGCCUAGAUUCUCAUUUAUUUGGUCUGAGGGGAGCCUGAGCUUCAGAAGUCACCAGCUGAUGGUUUAAGGACCAAAGUCCAUUCACAUUCUUCUUUAGCUUGAUCCAUGGGAUGUUUACAAAAAUUGGGAACUUAAAAUGAUAAAGCAAAUUGGGCAAAAUGUUAGCAACUGGUGAAUCUGGGUAAAGGGUAUAGGAGCUCUUUAUGCCAUCCUUGCAUUUUUUUCUAUAGGCUUGACACUAUAUUGAAAUAAAAAGUGACCAAAAAAAAAAAGGAGAGGGCCGGCCCGGUGGCGCAGCAGUUAAGUUCGCACGUUCCACUUCUCGGCAGCCCAGGGUUCGCCGGUUCGGAUCCCGGGUGCAGACAUGGCACCGCUUGGCAAAAGCCAUGCUGUGGCAGGCGUCCCACAUAGAAAGUAGAAGAAGAUGGGCACGGAUGUUAGCUCAGGGCCAGUCCUGCUCAGCAAAACGAAGAGAGUUGGCAGUAGCUAGCUCAGGGCUAAUCUUCCUCAAAAAAAAAAAAAAGAAAAGAAAAGGAAAAGUGGGAACUUACACAUAAAAGUCAGGAUUUGGGGCUUCUCUUGAAAAUCAGGAAAUCUGGAGAAACUGGGUCUGUAUUCCUGCAGAAAAUAAAAAGCAGCCAAGUAGCAGUGCCCAGGCCUCGGGUCAAGCCCAUGCCAGGGCCUGUGGUGUUGUUAGCCAGAGCGCAGGUGAGCCUUAGAAUCAGGCGUGGGAAUCACUCUCUGGAGUCCUUUCAAUUUUUAUUCAUUUUCUUCUAUCCUCUUCCGUCCUCUUCCAGCCUCUAAGUAUAGCUGGGAUUAUUUUUUGCCAAACACAGCACCUUGCACUUGCCCACACUGAAGCUCCUCCUUGGCAACUCCUCUGCCCACUCGCACAGCCUGGUGAGAUCUUCCCGCAGCUUAUCACCAGCGGCUUGGCAUUUCACUACCUGGCACAGCUAAGUGUCAUCAGCGAAUGUGGGGCUCUCACCACUUACUCCUCCACAUUAGUUAGGCAAAUGUCAAAUAGGACCAGGCCCAGCACCGACACCCCACUGUUUGCAAUUAAUUAAUUAACUAACUCAUAACAACCCAACUAAGUCUCCAGCUGCAAGCAGAAGCAGCCAACUGCGGUUAGUUUAAGCAACAGAGGAAUUUCGUGUAAGUUGGGGCUUCUCCACAGCGGUGCUAUUGAAGUUUGGGGAUGGGUAAUUCUUUGUGGUGGGGGACGUCCUGUGCACGAUAGGACUCUUAGCAGCGUACCUGGCUUCUACUCACCCCGAUGCCAGCAGCUCCCCUCCCACCCCCCAAGUUGUGAUGACCAAAAAUAUCUCUAGACGUUGCCAAAUGUCUGGGGUCGGGGAGGGAGGAGUAAAAUUUCUCCCAGUGAGAAAGCUAAGAGCGAAGCCUCAGAAAAGAUGGCCAUCUGAGUCAUUCCAGGGUUCUAAACAGCAAGGACUAAUAGACGGUUGACUUUGAAUCCUGGCUCCACCGUCUCCUAGAUGUACGACUUCAGUCAAGUUACUUCUCUGUGCCUCAGUUUCCUCCUCUGUGAAAUGGGAUAAUCAGGAUAGAUUGGGGUAUACAGAGGAAACAAACACCUGCAAAUAUCAGUAGCUUAAAACACAUGCUCUGUGCCCAAUGUGGUCAGCUGGGGCUCUGCUCACGCUGUCCGCUCCAAGAGACCCAGGCUCCUAGAGGCUCCACCAUCUGGACAGUGCUGGUCAGAACGACAAGGAGAAAAGAAAGAGAAGUGAUAAACUGGCUCUUAAAUGUUUCCACCUGGAAGUAAUGCACGUCAUUCCUGCUCAUAAUUCAUUGAUCAAAAAAAGUCACGUGGCUCUACUGAAUUUGAAGGAAGAUAACAAAGUGGAAAUCUAUCUACCUGGAGAAAGGAGAAGAGGAAAUAUUGACUGAUAAACAGCACCAAUGUUGGACACAAGUCCAGCUCAGGUGCCUGUUCUGCGACUUCAGGCAAGUUGCUUUCUAUGCUUCAGUUUACUCAGCUGCUGGAUGGGAUCAGGAUACACCACAUCGAAAUACGCCACUUUGGCAUGACGAUUAUUUUGAGCUAAAGGCAAUCAAGAAACAGCAGAUGCAGAAAAAUCUCUUUCCUCCCCAUUUCUGCAUAAAGGCAGGGCAUAAAUUUCCCUUUGUGAAGGUGUCCACCCUCCCCCACUCCCACACCAGGAAGAAGAAAGGAUUCUGAUCACUGGAGAUGGCACCAUAAGCAUAAGCAAAUGUUACUGAAAUAACCCUUGUCUUCCAUUAGUUUCCCCCAUAUAUUUACUUUCCCACAAUUUACUGCUCCUAGAAGCUCAAACCUUUUUCUUUUAUCUUGUCACUUCUCCACAAGUUUAUCACCCUGUGUUAAAAUGGUAUAUGAGCUCGCAACCCAACCAGUUCUUUGACUUUUCAUUUCCUUUCUGUGAGAUCCCCAUAUACAUGUAAAAAAUUAUAAUAUUAACAUCAAAUUAAAAUGUGCAUGCCUCUUCUUCGUUAACCCGUCUUUUGUCAGUUUAAUGUGCAGGGUCUCAGGCACAGAAUGUAAGAGGGUAGAGGAAAACAUUUUUCCUCUCCUAUACCGCAAAAUGUGGAUAACAACAGAAUCCACCUUAUUGGCAAAGUGAGGAUUAAACAAGAGAAUGUUUGUGUGGCACUUAACACAUGACCAGCUCAUAGUCAGUGCCUAAUAAGUGAGCACCUGUUAGAUAGUCACCAGUACUAGUCCUAUCUACCUC
This is a long non-coding RNA of Equus caballus (horse), 3962 nucleotides long. The record is from Ensembl. NCBI's taxonomy places the organism in Eukaryota, Metazoa, Chordata, Mammalia, Perissodactyla, Equidae.